GACGGAGGGUGUAUGAGCUACUUCUAUCCCAAAUACAGAGACGGAGGACGGGGAGAGGCGAGCAACGAGCGGGCGGCGACGGGGGACGACGGGGCGGAGAGAGGAGGAGGAGGCGACGGCGCAGAGGAUUCUCCGGCGCCGCCCGCCCUCCCGCACGCUCGCAGCUCGCAGCUCGUGGCGCCGUCCUCCCCCCGUCGCUGCCCGCCGCCCGCCGCUAUACCAUCCCAUUCUUGCCGCCCGGGAAGACACUCAGCCCAAUCCCAUGCGCCUGUACAGUUGUGCGGGAGGAGCAAGGGCCAAGAGCACGGCACCUGCCCCUCGGCAUCGGACACGCUGGCCUCCUCACUGCUCUCUCCUUCUUGUGCUUGUGCAGGCAGGAGGCGGAGGCUAUGUCCAAUUACUCCCUUUUGUGUGAAUACUAUUGGGCUAGGCCCCCAGAAGCUGGGUGUAUUUUUAAGAGGAUUGUAUGCUGCAGGUGCAGCAGCCAUGGAGGAUGGAGGCAGCAGAGACUCUGAUCAUGGCGUGGAGACGUCGUCGCCGCCGAAGCUGUAGGGAGCGGAGCUGGAGCAGGUGGUGCUGGUGCUGCUGACCUUGGAGGCGUCGUACUCCUGGCUGAGGCAGCGCAGCCGGUUGAGCUCCGGCAAGAUCUCCUUCCCGAGGUCCGGCCGGUCCUUCUUCCUCAGCUCGGCGCACCGCAGCGCCAGCUUGGCGAACACCAAGGCCUCCUCCACCGGCCAGUCGGUCACCAUCGGGUCGAGCACCUCCUGGAAGGUCCCCCUCUCGAUGGCGCUCUCGACGUGGUGGGUGAGCCCCAUGGGCGACCUCGCCGUGAUGAUCUGCAGCAGCAGGAUCCCCAGUGAGUAGAUGUCGGACAUGGUGGUCAGCAUCCCGGUCUGCUGGUACUCCGGGUCGAUGUAGCAGAAGGUGCCCGCCGUCGAGGUCAUCCGGUACUGCGUGGCCUCGGCGGCGGCAGCGGACUGCGGGACGAGGCGGGCGAGGCCGACGUCGCUGAUCUUGCUGACGAAGUUGUGGUCGAGGAGGAUGUUGGCCGGCUUCAGGUCGCGGUGGACCAGCGGCUCGGGCUUCGCCUGGUGGAGGAAGAGGAGGCCGGUGGCGAUGUCGGCGGCGAUGCGGAACCGGAUGUUCCAGGGGAUCGGCAGCGUCUUCCCCCGCCGGCACAGCCGGUCCUCCAGGCUGCCGUAGUCCAUGUACUCGUACACCAGGCACCCGUACUCCGGGCAUGCUCCCAGCAGCAGC
This 1257-nucleotide long non-coding RNA is filed under the name Oryza sativa Indica Group (long-grained rice). RNAcentral describes it as "lncRNA OsZS97_02G008700". The record is from RNAcentral. Lineage: Eukaryota; Viridiplantae; Streptophyta; Magnoliopsida; Poales; Poaceae.